RNAcentral lists this long non-coding RNA (2390 nucleotides) under Gossypium barbadense (sea-island cotton). RNAcentral's name for it is "long non-coding RNA (GBAR_LNC021385)". Lineage: Eukaryota; Viridiplantae; Streptophyta; Magnoliopsida; Malvales; Malvaceae. The record is from RNAcentral.
AGAGAAAGAAACAAAAUUGAAAAACGAAACAGAGAAGCAAAACAAAAAUUGAGAAAGAAAAACAGAAAGAAGAAAAAGAACGAGAGCCACGGUUUAGGGGUUUCCAAAGUUCUAAAUUUAAUUGGUAAGUUAAUUUAGUCCCUUUUUCUUGUAAUUUUGAUAUUUUUGGAAUUCUAGAAUAAAAUAAUAGUUGAUUUAAGUUGAAAUUUUAAAAGUUAGUAAAUUUUUAGAUGUUGUUUAUGUUGAAUAAAUUGAAGAAUUAGGGAUUAAAUUGAUUGAAUUGCAAGUUAGAAGUUAGUAAAUGGUUGAUUUGUAAAAUAAAUUAUAUGCUUUGAAUUAAUAGGGACUAAAUUGAGAGAAUUUCAAAAUUAGGGAUUUAUGGUGAAAAUGAAGAGUUAAAAUGAGUUUAUAGUAAGAAUUAAGAGAGAAUAUGGAGUUAGAUUGGGAAAAUAAAAUUAGUAUUGAUAAGGGAUUAAAUUAGAAUUUAGGUAAAGUUUAGGUAUAAAUGGAAAUAUUUUAAUGAAAUUAUGUAUUAAUGAUUUUUAAUUGUUUAAUUAUGUAGCUAAUGUCGUGCAAGAGUCAUUGUCCGAGAAAGGAAAGGAGAAUGUGGACAAGGAGUGAUUCGAGAAAAUUUAGGUUAGUAUUACCAUAAUUCGAAUUUAAUUAUUAAUUGUUGAAAUUUAAAUUAAUAUACAUGAUAAACAAAUUGAGGUGAGUAUUAUGAUUGAAUUGAAUGAAAACAUAUAUAUAUACGUAUUGGUAUUGAAUUUAUUGAUAGUAAUUGUUGAAUUUUGAAUAAUAUGUUUAGUAAAUAAAAAUAAGGUGAAUAUCGAUAUUGAAUUAAAUGAAUUAAAAAUAUGAAUAGAAUAAAAGUAAAUUAAAUUAUGAUUAUGUGUGAAUAUGUAAAUUGUGUAUAGAUUGAAAAGUGGUUUGAAUUGAAUCAAAGUAUGAUUAUAUGUGAAUAUCUGAAAUAUGUAUUGGUAUUGAAUUGUAUAUUGAUUAGAAAGUGGGAAGUGAAUCUGAAUUGAAUUGUGAUAUGAAUACCCUAUUAACUAGUCGGGCUGAGUCGAAUAUAGUUGGCAUGCCAUAGGAUUGGAAGUGUUCAGGGGAUUGGAAGUGUUCAGGGGUACUUCGACCUCGAGUCAAUGAGACACUGGGUGUCACUAUAUUUCUUCGGAUAGUUUCGAUGAUGUACUGGGUACCAACUUUCUUCGGCUCUGCCGAUGAGACACUGGGUGUCACUUUAUUGCUUCGAACUAUCCGAUGAGGCACUGGGUGCCAUUCUGGUGUAUGUAGUUGGAUCCGUGUAUCCGCCAAGGUCCGAGUCAAGUUAAUAGGGGUAAAUGAAUAAUCUUGAUAAUAUAAAUUUUAUUGAAUGAUCUUGAAUAUGAAUCGAAAUUAGAUAUUAAAUUGAGAUGCGGAAAUGAAAUGUAUGAACCAUGGGUUCAAGAAAUAGAUAAUGAUAUAGUUCAUGAAAUGGUUUUGGUAGUAUGAGAUGAUGUAAAAAUAUAAGUAAAGAAAAGCAAAUUGAAAUAGCUAUGGUUGAGAAAUGAGAAGUGAAAAUAAAAUGAUUUGAAAUAGUGAAAUAAUAUGUGAAUUUAAUUGAAUACAAGUUAUUGAAAUUUAUUUAUGGAUUUAAUGUAUAAAUUGAGUGUUAAAAGAUUAUAAGUGUAAAUUGAUCAUAAAUGAACGAAUCGAAUUGAAAGAUAGUUAUUAUUAUUGUUGUUGUUGAAACAAGUUGAUUUAAUGUAUUAAAUGUUUAUUGAAAGAUUAACGGUAUAAAUUGAAUUAAGAAAUAGUGUAUGAGUUAAUUUGAAUACAAUUUUAUAAAAUUAGUUGUUAUUAUUAUUAUUAUUAUUAUUAUUGAAACAUAUUAGUCUAAAUGUUUAAUUUGAUUAUUAAAAGCUUUAAAGUAUAAAUUGAAUAUAAAUAGAAAUGAUAAUGAAUGAGUUGAUAAAUUGAUUGAAUUUGUAUGAAUUGGAAUGAGUUAUUAGAAUGAGAUGUUGAAAAAUCCAAUGGAAUUGUGAUAGUGAAAUAAGGUAUGAGUACAAUGCUUAUUGUUAUUAAUUAUCAAGUUGAUUUAAAGUAUGAGACAAUUAAUGAAUAAUUGUAGACAUAAAUUAAAUGUAUAUAAUUUAUCGAUUAAUGUUAUUAAUUUGAAUUAUGGUAAUACACCGUAUGGUUGUUUCUGUGCGCAGGUUAGUAGAAAGCCAGUGUCCGGUCCAGCAUCCAGAGCAAUCCCGACCUCAGAGAAAUUUUAGUGAUGUACUUUUGUUUUGAUAAUGUGGCAUGUACCUAGGUGAUGUAUAGGUUAAGUAUAAGAGUUUUGUUAUUACUGUUGUAGAAUGAUGUUUAAAUUGGUUAUAAGUAUGAAAUGGAACUAAUAUGAC